This is a long non-coding RNA of Gallus gallus (chicken), 2416 nucleotides long. The record is from Ensembl. Lineage: Eukaryota; Metazoa; Chordata; Aves; Galliformes; Phasianidae.
CGCGCAGGGCCGAGGCGGCCCCCGCUGCAUCCAACAGUCACGUUACAGAGGGCCAAAGAUUCGCAUGUACGUAAGCCCCCAAACCCAGAACUCUAUAAGGCAAAUUCAGCAAUAGACGCAUAGAGCUGUAGGUGCUGCCGUCAAUAAUAGCAGCACAGAGCUGUAGGUGAUGAAGUCACAGCCUCCGUUUGUGAGUCUGACUUGUUUGGCACUGCUGCUUUGACAAAAAGAAAUACAGUUUCUGAUUGCAUGGCUGGGGCUGCUAGGCUCAUACAGGCUUUAUCAGUAUUCUUAGUGCUUAAAGGUGGAAAUUGCAAUGAUGUUUAAACAGAGAACAAUAAAUGUAAAAACUGUUAUUCUGGUUUACGUCCGUACUCCCACAUACUUCCUUUCAAGAUUAAAGUCUGAAAGCACACAGUGGAGUAUAUACUUAAAAAUGUAAAACGUACGAUAGUUCCAUUAGGAUGUAUAAUAGGAAAAUGGGCCAUUUAGAUUUCCAAGAAAAUAAAUAUCUCUGCAUACAGAGACAAGUUUUCAUUUUUCUGAGGUACUCCUAAGUAUGGUGUCUUCAGAAGUAGAAAUGAUCAUCUUUUGAUUAUCUGACAUUCUCUGCUUACAGCUUUUAAUCUGUAAUAGCAACAGCACUUCGUCUCCUGUUUAAGAACCUGCAGUCUUUCUAAAGCACAGUUCUGCUCAGUGCAAUUAUUUAUUCUUCAUUUAUUCAUUUAUUUGUUUUGAGGUUAUGGAAAUAUGUAGCCAUUUCAAACACUUAGAGGGUAAAGGAGUAUUUUAAUGAAAAAUGCAUGACAGAUUUGGAAAAUGGUAUUGGGAAACGACUUGUUGGAAUGGAAGGAAAUGGCAGGAAGCUGUACUUUACCAAAUGCGUUGUGGGAAAGAACCCAGAGGCAUGUUUCCUAAAAGAGCUACUACUGCAACCGUGUGAUGAUAGAUAAAUGUGCUUACCCAUUUCCGUCCUUGCUACUGAUCAGCCAUGUAAUUCAGAUAUGGUGACCAAAUCCUUUCUGGUCUGAAAAUGAAAAAUAGCAUUUCGAUCUCCUUAAAGUUUUCAUGUGCAUCACAAGAAUAACAUCCCCAUUUUGGGAAAACCCACAGAUGAAGCUGUGGCCCAAAAAAGGACCCAAACUGCAGAUGCAGUGAAUGUCAUAACUCAGGAUUGCAGUGCAUUGGCAGGACUGUUUGGGGAAGCUUGCAUAACAUCUGCUUGCAACAUGCCUGAUUCAAACCAGCACUCCUCCCUCCUCUCAUGAACACUGAUGACUUUUUUAAAAGUAAAAUAAACUUUGUCAUUAUGCAAGCAAAAUUAUUUUCUGGGUGAUUAUCCAGAUCUGCUUGAAGCAACAGCCCACAACACGAAAGCAAUUUACAUUUACUAAAUAUUUUGAUCAUAGUUGUGUCCUUCUUUUGUUUUCUUUGUCCUUUUAUUCCUGUGUUCUGAUCUCAUUCCUGUGAGCCAUGCUCUUUAUGACGCCAGAGGGACUACUCUUGUGGAGGGAUUGAUGUCGUUAGAAAUCCCUGCUCACUGCUUCGAACACUUUAUUAGAAAAGAAGAUGAAUGUAACCAAAACUUAUACUGAGAAGAGGCGAGGACAUCUGCUGUGGCAGGUACACCACUGACAAAUUGGAAGACCAUGAAAAAGUGCUUGAGAAGAAGAAUCCCUUUUGCUCAACGAGACUUGGGGAAUUAAGUCUUACUGGGACUCGGUGACAUAAAAAGACAUUAAAAGAUGAGCCAGGAUAAAGAAGAAUGGAAAUCCUUGUUUAUUCCAUAAGUAAGAUUUAAUGUCAUGGGAAAUACUUGGAGAUGGAAGAUUCUGUUGCCACCUGUUCCUGUUUUAUAAGGAAAUCAGGAACACAUGAUAACAAAAGAAAAAGUGCUUCAUCAUUUAUUAGAACUUUUGUAGAGACUUUCAUCCCAGUAGGGACCAGAGGGCUUUUUUCAGUGAAAUCCUAUUUGCUUCAAUCAUAGGCAAUUUAUCAGAGAUUACUUUGUAAUAUCUCUGAAUAGCUGUAACAUUCCAAAGAAUGGAAAUUAAAUCAUCUUUUCAGGACUCUACUUAUAAGCUCUUGUGUGCUUCUUUCUGUCAUGCUGUCAACUCAUCCUGGUUUCAGCUGAAUCUCAAAAUAAAUAGAUUCAGAAGAGAUUAUGCUUUUGUACGUGUGCUCUAUGUCCUUUCUUGAAAGAAUUUUAGGAAAUUGAGAUGGAAUGGCUUCUCUCUUGAGAACUGUCCACUGUGCAAAUAGGCCCUUGGGAAACAUCAAACGAGGGCAUGCUAGCCCGGAUUGGUCCCACCUUACACCUGAACACACAAAGUAAGUCCCUCCACAUUGCACGUGCUUUGCAGUGAUAUUAAAGUGACCCAUUCUUAAUAAUAACGUUUUAGAAAUUAACUUUGAA